GAGGGUAUAGCUCUGUGGUAGAGAACAUGCUUAGUGUGCAUGAGGUCCUGGAUCCAAUCCCCAGUACCUAUG
Molecule: transfer RNA, 72 nt
Filed under: Camelus bactrianus (Bactrian camel)
Lineage: Eukaryota; Metazoa; Chordata; Mammalia; Artiodactyla; Camelidae
Also listed under: 2 other names
Rfam family: tRNA
About the family: Transfer RNA (tRNA) molecules are approximately 80 nucleotides in length. Their secondary structure includes four short double-helical elements and three loops (D, anti-codon, and T loops).
Source: Rfam by way of RNAcentral